RNAcentral lists this ribosomal RNA (492 nucleotides) under uncultured bacterium. RNAcentral describes it as "partial 16S ribosomal RNA". It matches the Rfam family "Bacterial small subunit ribosomal RNA", at positions 29 to 507 of the family's 1533-position model. The record is from RNAcentral.
AGUGAACGCUGGCGGUAGGCCUAACACAUGCAAGUCGAACGGCAGCACAGUAAGAGCUUGCUCUUACUGGUGGCGAGUGGCGGACGGGUGAGGAAUACAUCGGAAUCUACUUUUUCGUGGGGGAUAACGUAGGGAAACUUACGCUAAUACCGCAUACGACCUACGGGCGAAAGCAGGGGAUCUUCGGACCUUGCGCGAUUGAAUGAGCCGAUGUCGGAUUAGCUAGUUGGCGGGGUAAAGGCCCACCAAGGCGACGAUCCGUAGCUGGUCUGAGAGGAUGAUCAGCCACACUGGAACUGAGACACGGUCCAGACUCCUACGGGAGGCAGCAGUGGGGAAUAUUGGACAAUGGGCGCAAGCCUGAUCCAGCCAUACCGCGUGGGUGAAGAAGGCCUUCGGGUUGUAAAGCCCUUUUGUUGGGAAAGAAAAGCAGCAGGUUAAUACCCCGCUGUUCUGACGGUACCCAAAGAAUAAGCACCGGCUAACUUCGUG